GACGAACGCUGGCGGCGUGCUUAACACAUGCAAGUCGAACGGUAAGGCCCUUCGGGGUACACGAGUGGCGAACGGGUGAGUAACACGUGGGUAAUCUGCCCUGCACUUCGGGAUAAGCCUGGGAAACUGGGUCUAAUACCGGAUAUUCAGUUCCUGCCGCAUGGUGGGGGUUGGAAAGUUUUUCGGUGCAGGAUGAGCCCGCGGCCUAUCAGCUUGUUGGUGGGGUAAUGGCCUACCAAGGCGACGACGGGUAGCCGGCCUGAGAGGGUGAUCGGCCACACUGGGACUGAGACACGGCCCAGACUCCUACGGGAGGCAGCAGUGGGGAAUAUUGCACAAUGGGCGAAAGCCUGAUGCAGCGACGCCGCGUGGGGGAUGACGGUCUUCGGAUUGUAAACCCCUUUCAGUAGGGACGAAGCGCAAGUGACGGUUCCUGCAGAAGAAGCACCGGCCAACUACGUG
This 462-nucleotide ribosomal RNA is filed under the name uncultured bacterium. Its description in RNAcentral is "partial 16S ribosomal RNA". It matches the Rfam family "Bacterial small subunit ribosomal RNA", at positions 28 to 507 of the family's 1533-position model. The record is from RNAcentral.